This 486-nucleotide ribosomal RNA is filed under the name uncultured bacterium. Its description in RNAcentral is "bacterial SSU rRNA". It matches the Rfam family "Bacterial small subunit ribosomal RNA", at positions 771 to 1262 of the family's 1533-position model. The record is from RNAcentral.
AACAGGAUUAGAUACCCUGGUAGUCCACGCCCUAAACGAUGUCAACUAGUUGUCGGGUCUUCAUUGACUUGGUAACGUAGCUAACGCGUGAAGUUGACCGCCUGGGGAGUACGGUCGCAAGAUUAAAACUCAAAGGAAUUGACGGGGACCCGCACAAGCGGUGGAUGAUGUGGAUUAAUUCGAUGCAACGCGAAAAACCUUACCUACCCUUGACAUGUAUGGAAUCCUGCUGAGAGGUGGGAGUGCCCGAAAGGGAGCCAUAACACAGGUGCUGCAUGGCUGUCGUCAGCUCGUGUCGUGAGAUGUUGGGUUAAGUCCCGCAACGAGCGCAACCCUUGUCCCUAGUUGCUACGCAAGAGCACUCUAGGGAGACUGCUGGUGACAAACCGGAGGAAGGUGGGGAUGACGUCAAGUCCUCAUGGCCCUUAUGGGUAGGGCUUCACACGUCAUACAAUGGUCGGAACAGAGGGUCGCCAACCCGCGAGG